GAUGAACGCUGGCGGCGUGCUUAACACAUGCAAGUCGAACGGGAAAUAUUUCAUUGAGACUUCGGUGGCUUUGCUUUAUUUCUAGUGGCGGACGGGUGAUUAACGCGUGGGUAACCUGCCUUAUACAGGGGGAUACCAGUCAGAAAUGGCUGCUAAUACCGCAUAAGCGCACAGAGCUGCAUGGCUCAGUGUGAAAAACUCCGGUGGUAUAAGAUGGACCCGCGUUGGAUUAGCUAGUUGGUGGGGUAACGGCCCACCAAGGCGACGAUCCAUAGCCGGCCAGAGAGAGGGAACGGAGACAGUGGGACUGGGACACGGCCGAGACUCUUACGGGAGGGAGGAGUGGUGAAUAGUGCACAAUGGGGGAAACCCUGAUGGUGCGACGACGCGAGAAGGAAGAAGUAUCUCGGUAUGUAAACUGCUAUCAGCAGGGAAGAUAGUGACGGUACCUGACUAAGAAGCCCCGGCUAACUACGUG
Molecule: ribosomal RNA, 478 nt
Filed under: uncultured bacterium
Lineage: Bacteria
Description: partial 16S ribosomal RNA
Rfam family: Bacterial small subunit ribosomal RNA
Source: RNAcentral